UGGGGAAUAUUGGACAAUGGGCGCAAGCCUGAUCCAGCCAUGCCGCGUGUGUGAUGAAGGCCUUAGGGUUGUAAAGCACUUUUGUCCGGGAAGAUAAUGACUGUACCGGAAGAAUAAGCCCCGGCUAACUUCGUGCCAGCAGCCGCGGUAAUACGAAGGGGGCUAGCGUUGCUCGGAAUCACUGGGCGUAAAGGGCGCGUAGGCGGACUUUUAAGUCGGGGGUGAAAGCCCAGGGCUCAACCCUGGAAUUGCCUUCGAUACUGAGAGUCUUGAGUUCGGAAGAGGUUGGUGGAACUGCGAGUGUAGAGGUGAAAUUCGUAGAUAUUCGCAAGAACACCAGUGGCGAAGGCGGCCAACUGGUCCGAUACUGACGCUGAGGCGCGAAAGCGUGGGGAGCAAACAG
This 403-nucleotide ribosomal RNA is filed under the name uncultured bacterium. RNAcentral's name for it is "bacterial SSU rRNA". It matches the Rfam family "Bacterial small subunit ribosomal RNA", at positions 355 to 775 of the family's 1533-position model. The record is from RNAcentral.